UGGUCAAAUCCUGUUGGAACACCAGUUCCAAUACAAUCAUUGAAGUUAAGCAAUGUCAAGCCUGGUCAGUACCUAGAUGGGUGACCACUUGAGAAUACCAGGUACUGUAAG
Molecule: non-coding RNA, 111 nt
Organism: Acanthosepion pharaonis
Lineage: Eukaryota; Metazoa; Mollusca; Cephalopoda; Sepiida; Sepiidae
Source: the annotation of a GenBank genome assembly